This 160-nucleotide ribosomal RNA is filed under the name uncultured bacterium. RNAcentral's name for it is "partial 16S ribosomal RNA". It matches the Rfam family "Bacterial small subunit ribosomal RNA", at positions 333 to 508 of the family's 1533-position model. The record is from RNAcentral.
AAACUCCUACGGGAGGCAGCAGUGGGGAAUAUUGCACAAUGGGGGAAACCCUGAUGCAGCGACGCCGCGUGAGCGAAGAAGUAUUUCGGUAUGUAAAGCUCUAUCAGCAGGGAAGAAGAAAUGACGGUACCUGACUAAGAAGCACCGGCUAAAUACGUGC